UUAAUUUGAAUCAACAUAAGGAAACUUACCAGGUCCAAACAUAAUAAGGAUUAACAGACUGAUGGCUCUUUCUUAAUUCUAUGGGUGGUGGUGCAUGGCCAUUCUUAGUUGGUGGAGUGAUCUGUCUGGUUAAUUUCGACCAUGAACAAGACCUUAGCCUGCUAACUAGCUAUAUGGAUGUACAUCACCACGGCCAUGCAUCGGAUUAAUCAUAGUGUGGAAAAACAAAUGUUAUCUUAUGAGAAGACUGAGGAAGAAGAGAAGCUUUAUAUGGCUAACUUUACAUCAGCAAAUAUUAUCGAGAGAGGAAAUGUGAUCUUGAAAUUCACCUUUGGCA
Molecule: non-coding RNA, 337 nt
Filed under: Eucalyptus grandis
Lineage: Eukaryota; Viridiplantae; Streptophyta; Magnoliopsida; Myrtales; Myrtaceae
Description: Eukaryotic small subunit ribosomal RNA
Rfam family: Eukaryotic small subunit ribosomal RNA
Source: Rfam by way of RNAcentral